GCCAGUGUGGUAUAGUGGUUUGAGCGUUGGACUAUAACUCUGGAGAUCAGGGUUCAAUUUCCCACUUGGACA
This 72-nucleotide transfer RNA is filed under the name Phrynosoma platyrhinos (Desert horned lizard). RNAcentral's name for it is "tRNA-OTHER". Lineage: Eukaryota; Metazoa; Chordata; Lepidosauria; Squamata; Phrynosomatidae. The record is from RNAcentral.